GCCUAGGUGGCUCAGCCGGUUGAGCGUCUGACUUCGGCUCAGGUCAUGAUCUCAGGCUCAGGUCAUGAUCUCAUGGUUCGUGAGUUCGAGUCCCGUGUUGGGCU
RNAcentral lists this transfer RNA (104 nucleotides) under Felis catus (domestic cat). It matches the Rfam family "tRNA". From Rfam's summary of the family: Transfer RNA (tRNA) molecules are approximately 80 nucleotides in length. Their secondary structure includes four short double-helical elements and three loops (D, anti-codon, and T loops). Lineage: Eukaryota; Metazoa; Chordata; Mammalia; Carnivora; Felidae. The record is from Rfam by way of RNAcentral.